UACGUAGGGUGCGAGCGUUAAUCGGAAUUACUGGGCGUAAAGUGUGCGCAGGCGGCCGAGCAAGUCGAGUGUGAAAGCCCCGAGCUUAACUUGGGAACUGCGCUCGAAACCCCCUGGCUAGAGUCCGGAAGAGGAGAGUGGAAUUCCUGGUGUAGCGGUGAAAUGCGCAGAUAUCAGGAAGAACACCCGUGGCGAAGGCGGCUCUCUGGGACGGUACUGACGCUGAGACGCGAAAGCGUGGGGAGCGAACAGG
Molecule: ribosomal RNA, 253 nt
Filed under: uncultured bacterium
Lineage: Bacteria
Description: partial 16S ribosomal RNA
Rfam family: Bacterial small subunit ribosomal RNA
Source: RNAcentral